This 253-nucleotide ribosomal RNA is filed under the name uncultured bacterium. Its description in RNAcentral is "partial 16S ribosomal RNA". It matches the Rfam family "Bacterial small subunit ribosomal RNA", at positions 524 to 776 of the family's 1533-position model. The record is from RNAcentral.
GCCGAACCGUGCGAACGUUGUUCGGAAUCACUGGGCUUAAAGGGCGCGUAGGCGGGUGACCAAGUCCGGGGUGAAAUCUUUCAGCCCAACUGGAAAACGGCUUUUGAUACUGGUCACCUGGAGGGGGGUAGGGGCAUGUGGAACUUCCGGUGGAGCGGUGAAAUGCGUAGAUAUCGGAAGGAACGCCGGUGGCGAAAGCGACGUGCUGGACCCUUUCUGACGCUGAGGCGCGAAAGCCAGGGGAGCAAACGGG